CAAACACUAACUUGUAUCGUCUGAUGAAUAAUUUAAACCAGACGACUUACAUGUAAGUCGUCCAAAUACUCCCACCUAAUUUUUUUUUUAAAAAUUAUUUUUCCGCUUAAAUAUUUUAAACCAGUAGCCGUCUAGGAAGUCUUGUAUUUUAGUUUUCCGCUAAAAAUAUUAAAGUCUUCUCGGCGACUUACAAGUAAGUGUGGGAACCGAAAUU
This 214-nucleotide long non-coding RNA is filed under the name Brassica rapa (field mustard). RNAcentral describes it as "long non-coding RNA (BRAP_LNC002410)". Lineage: Eukaryota; Viridiplantae; Streptophyta; Magnoliopsida; Brassicales; Brassicaceae. The record is from RNAcentral.